Molecule: ribosomal RNA, 470 nt
Filed under: Sungouiella pseudointermedia
Lineage: Eukaryota; Fungi; Ascomycota; Pichiomycetes; Serinales; Metschnikowiaceae
Description: eukaryotic LSU rRNA
Rfam family: Eukaryotic large subunit ribosomal RNA
Source: RNAcentral
UUUGAAAUCCUUCGGGAGUUGUAAUUUGUAGGUUGGGAGACCCCGCGGCUAGUGGCACCAAGUCCCUUGGAACAGGGCGCCUUAGAGGGUGAGAGCCCCGUAGGUACCACAACACCGUCUUGUGUCUCCUCUCCAAAGAGUCGAGUUGUUUGGGAAUGCAGCUCAAAGUGGGUGGUAAAUUCCAUCUAAAGCUAAAUACCGGCGAGAGACCGAUAGCGAACAAGUACAGUGAUGGAAAGAUGAAAAGCACUUUGAAAAGAGAGUGAAACAGUACGUGAAAUUGUUGAAAGGGAAGGGCUUGCAAGCAGACACGGCCUUCGUGCCGGGCCAGCAUCGGUUGCUAGGGGUGGAUAAGGAACAAGGAAUGUAGCUCCUCGGAGUAUUAUAGCCUUGCGCGAUACACCCACUGGCGACCGAGGCCUGCGGUAUUCCUACCUAGGAUGCUGGCGUAAUGGUUGCAAGCCGCCCGU